This 253-nucleotide ribosomal RNA is filed under the name uncultured bacterium. RNAcentral's name for it is "partial 16S ribosomal RNA". It matches the Rfam family "Bacterial small subunit ribosomal RNA", at positions 524 to 776 of the family's 1533-position model. The record is from RNAcentral.
UACGAAGGGGGCGAGCGUUGUCCGGAUUUAUUGGGUUUAAAGGGUGCGUAGUUGGGAUAGUAAGUCAGAGGUGAAAGCUAGCAGCUUAACUGUUAAAUUGCCUUUGAUACUGCUGUUCUUGAGUGUAGUUGGCGUUGGCGGAAUGUGACAUGUAGCGGUGAAAUGCGUAGAUAUGUCACAGAACACCGAUCGCGAAGGCAGCUAACGAAGCUAUCACUGACACUGAUGCACGAAAGCGUGGGGAGCAAACAGG